Salmo salar (Atlantic salmon) is the source of this 58-nucleotide non-coding RNA. Lineage: Eukaryota; Metazoa; Chordata; Actinopteri; Salmoniformes; Salmonidae. The record is from Rfam.
UGGCUCAGUUGGCAGGGCAUGGUGUUUGCAACGCCAGGGUUGUGGGUUCGAUUCCCAC